UGGCUCAAUCGGUAAAGCAUCUGUCUGUUGAACAAAAGGUCGUUGGUUCGAAUCCAAAC
Molecule: transfer RNA, 59 nt
Filed under: Strongylocentrotus purpuratus (purple sea urchin)
Lineage: Eukaryota; Metazoa; Echinodermata; Echinoidea; Camarodonta; Strongylocentrotidae
Rfam family: tRNA
About the family: Transfer RNA (tRNA) molecules are approximately 80 nucleotides in length.
Source: Rfam by way of RNAcentral